Molecule: non-coding RNA, 23 nt
Filed under: Arabidopsis thaliana (thale cress)
Lineage: Eukaryota; Viridiplantae; Streptophyta; Magnoliopsida; Brassicales; Brassicaceae
Source: RNAcentral
UUGGAAACUAAUGAAGAUUAGUU